This is a non-coding RNA of Canis lupus familiaris (dog), 105 nucleotides long. The record is from Rfam. Lineage: Eukaryota; Metazoa; Chordata; Mammalia; Carnivora; Canidae.
AGGAGCAACAGCCCUAGUGGCGGGGCCAGCCCCGGAAACCUGGAUUCAGCCCCCGCAGGAACUCUGGAGCUCUCGGUCUGCAGGGCCUGGAGGCUCCGGGGAGGG